This 89-nucleotide microRNA precursor is filed under the name Aotus nancymaae (Ma's night monkey). RNAcentral's name for it is "microRNA 125b-2 (ENSANAG00000000115.1)". The stretch from base 11 to 80 matches the Rfam family "lin-4 microRNA precursor family", at positions 1 to 71 of the family's 80-position model. Rfam says of the family: The extents of the hairpin precursors are not generally known and are estimated based on hairpin prediction. Lineage: Eukaryota; Metazoa; Chordata; Mammalia; Primates; Aotidae. The record is from RNAcentral.
ACCAGACUUUUCCUAGUCCCUGAGACCCUAACUUGUGAGGUAUAUUAGUAACAUCACAAGUCAGGCUCUUGGGACCUAGGCGGAGGGGA